Long non-coding RNA from Herpailurus yagouaroundi (jaguarundi), 732 nucleotides. RefSeq lists it as uncharacterized. The transcript has 3 exons. NCBI's taxonomy places the organism in Eukaryota, Metazoa, Chordata, Mammalia, Carnivora, Felidae. The record is from RefSeq and is a predicted model, not a curated record.
CGCGGGGGGUGGGGGCUAGGAGCUGGGGGCGGGGUCGCGCUGGACAGCCCAGAAAGCUCGUCCACGUCACAAAGCUGUUGUCCCCUCUCCCCCAUCACAGCACCCGAGGUCCGGACCAACUUGGCCUCACUCCAGGGAUUUUGCUAGACCGUAUACCGCUUCAUGCUAUCCAUCCAGGGGCUCCCAGAAUGGUGGCACGGGGCCUGGGGCACCAAAGAGCCAUCCUUCCUUGGAGAGAUCUGGUUUGGGAUCCCAGCUACUCUCGCCCUCCAGCCCGCCUCGCUUGAAACUUCCGGCAAUAGAGACUCCUUUGACGUUUAAAGAAAACAAGGACAAAACACUGGCAGCACAACGUUUCCACUGUGGAACAGCUAAGCUGCUGGGAUGGCGUCUGGGCAAGGCGGGUUUUUCAAUGGAGCCUGCCUCUCUUUGGAGUAGGUGGCUUAGGCUGUGCUGAUGCCAUCUUUGCCUGGUUGUCAAAAAGAGAUCCAGAAAUAUAGGCUUGUGGAAUGUUGGAGCUGGAAGUCUUGUCCAACUGAACUUAUUUAACAACCCUGGAAGCAACUUGGGAAUAGAAGAAAGUCUUCUAUGAGAGUUUCCAGAACUAGGUGGCAGCAAUGAAGAUAGGAGAGAUUAUCAGAGGCAGAAGGAGCAGUAAUAAAAUGCAAAAAAUUAUAGACAGCAAAUUAAUUUUUAUUCCUCUGUUCUUUUCUACUGAGUUUAAAAUUCCAU